Molecule: ribosomal RNA, 482 nt
Filed under: uncultured bacterium
Lineage: Bacteria
Description: bacterial SSU rRNA
Rfam family: Bacterial small subunit ribosomal RNA
Source: RNAcentral
UUGAACGCUGGCGGCAUGCUUUACACAUGCAAGUCGAACGGCAGCAUGGGCUUCGGCCUGAUGGCGAGUGGCGAACGGGUGAGUAAUGCAUCGGAACGUACUCAGUCGUGGGGGAUAACUAUCCGAAAGGAUAGCUAAUACCGCAUACGUCCUGAGGGAGAAAGCGGGGGACCUUCGGGCCUCGCGCGAUUGGAGCGGCCGAUGUCGGAUUAGCUGGUUGGUGGGGUAAAGGCCUACCAAGGCGACGAUCCGUAGCUGGUCUGAGAGGAUGAUCAGCCACACUGGGACUGAGACACGGCCCAGACUCCUACGGGAGGCAGCAGUGGGGAAUUUUGGACAAUGGGCGCAAGCCUGAUCCAGCCAUGCCGCGUGAGUGAAGAAGGCCUUCGGGUUGUAAAGCUCUUUCAGACGGAAAGAAAUCGGGCGCGUGAAUAGCGUGCCUGGAUGACGGUACUGUCAGAAGAAGCACCGGCUAACUACGU